This 304-nucleotide long non-coding RNA is filed under the name Mytilus galloprovincialis (Mediterranean mussel). Lineage: Eukaryota; Metazoa; Mollusca; Bivalvia; Mytilida; Mytilidae. The record is from RNAcentral.
UGAGGUGCACCUGAGACAUAUUCUGUCUUGUCGGAGAGUACCCUGAUAGCGACCUUGUUCAAUUCUUAGUCUGUGAGAAGAAAUACGCAAUCGAGUGAAAUUUCUCCUCUGCUCAGGUGAUUGUAAUAUAGUAAGGUAUCUUUCAAGACCAAAAUGAGUCUUAAAAGUGCUAUAGCUACAAAGCUUCCCAUCAGCACAAUUGUGCAUUUGGUUUCUCCACUGUAUUUCAUAGUGCUCAUACAAAAACUUUUUAAUUAAAAUUUUGAAUCUAAAGUUGCUUGCAAAGGUUAGACUGUCAACCCCA